This 257-nucleotide ribosomal RNA is filed under the name uncultured bacterium. RNAcentral describes it as "partial small subunit ribosomal RNA". It matches the Rfam family "Bacterial small subunit ribosomal RNA", at positions 26 to 287 of the family's 1533-position model. The record is from RNAcentral.
AGAGCGAACGCUGGCGGCAUGCUUAACACAUGCAAGUCGCACGGUUUGGGGCUUCGGCUCCGGGCAGUGGCGGACGGGUGAGUAACGCGUAGGGAUCUAUCCAAGGGUGGGGGACAACCGCGGGAAACUGCGGCUAAUACCGCAUGACGACUUUGACUGAGAGGUUGGGGUCCAAAGCUUUCACGAGCGCCUAUGGAGGAGCCUGCGUCCGAUUAGCUUGUUGGUGGGUAAUGGCCUACCAAGGCACGAUCGGUAGC